CCCUUAGAUGUCCGGGGCUGCACGCGCGCUACACUGAAGGAAUCAGCGUGCUAAAACCAUUGUCGAAAGGCAUUGGUAAGCCCAUUAAAAUCCUACGUGAUUGGGAUCGGGAAUUGCAAUUAUUUCCCUUGAACGAGGAAUUCCCAGUAAGUGUGGGUCAUAAGCUCGCGUUGAUUACGUCCCUGCCCUUUGUACACACCGCCCGUCGCUGCCCGGGACUGAGCCGUUUCGAGAAAAGCGGGGACUGCUGCUGUCGGGGCUUUCGGGCCUUGGCUUCGGUGGAAACCGCUUUAAUCGCAGUGGCUUGAACCGGGCAAAANUCGUANCA
Molecule: ribosomal RNA, 328 nt
Filed under: uncultured eukaryote
Lineage: Eukaryota
Description: partial 18S ribosomal RNA
Rfam family: Eukaryotic small subunit ribosomal RNA
Source: RNAcentral